RNAcentral lists this ribosomal RNA (373 nucleotides) under uncultured bacterium. RNAcentral's name for it is "bacterial SSU rRNA". It matches the Rfam family "Bacterial small subunit ribosomal RNA", at positions 521 to 896 of the family's 1533-position model. The record is from RNAcentral.
UAAUACGUAGGGAGCAAGCGUUGUCCGGAUUCACUGGGUGUAAAGGGUGCGCAGGCGGGAGAGUAAGUCAGAGGUGAAAUCUCACAGCUUAACUGUGAAACUGCCUUUGAUACUGCUUUUCUUGAGUUCGGGAGAGGUUGAUGGAAUUCCAGGUGUAGCGGUGAAAUGCGUAGAUAUCUGGAAGAACACCAGUGGCGAAGGCGGUCAACUGGCCCGUAACUGACGCUCAGGCACGAAAGCGUGGGUAGCGAACAGGAUUAGAUACCCUGGUAGUCCACGCCCUAAACGAUGAAUACUUGGUGUUGGUCCUUUUGGAUCAGUGCCGUAGGUAACCUGAUAAGUAUUCCACCUGGGGAGUACGCUCGCAAGGGUG